CAUAGGGCUGAUGAGGUCUUUGCAGCAAAUUGGAUGCACACACGUAUUAGAUUUGUAUUGUCAAGGUUUGCCUUCUCAAAGGGCAUGUCUCAGCAUGAUCCUGGAUUUGCCGAAUUACAGUAUGAAGCCGCUUGGCAUGCCAGAAACUGGGACUUCUCCUUGACACUGAAGCUAAAUUGUCACCUUCCAGACAGUGCAUUAAAAAUAAUCAUUUUAAUGAAAAUUUACACAGUUGCUUGAGAGCAUUGCAAGAAGGAGAUUUCAAUGAAUUUCAUAUGAGGCUUAGAGAUUCAAAGCUGGUGCUUGAUCUGUUGAUAUAUCAUGCAAGCAAGGAGAGUACUCAAUACAUCUAUUCAUCUAUAGUUAAACUUAAGGUACACAAUAUUUAGAAGCA
Long non-coding RNA from Telopea speciosissima, 394 nucleotides. RefSeq lists it as uncharacterized. The record is from RefSeq and is a predicted model, not a curated record. The transcript is spliced from 4 exons. Lineage: Eukaryota; Viridiplantae; Streptophyta; Magnoliopsida; Proteales; Proteaceae.